This 497-nucleotide ribosomal RNA is filed under the name uncultured bacterium. RNAcentral's name for it is "partial 16S ribosomal RNA". It matches the Rfam family "Bacterial small subunit ribosomal RNA", at positions 28 to 507 of the family's 1533-position model. The record is from RNAcentral.
GAUGAACGCUGGCGGCGUGCCUAAUACAUGCAAGUCGAGCGAACAGACGAGGAGCUUGCUCCUUUGACGUUAGCGGCGGACGGGUGAGUAACACGUGGAUAACCUACCUAUAAGACUGGGAUAACUUCGGGAAACCGGAGCUAAUACCGGAUAACAUGUUGAACCGCAUGGUUCAACAGUGAAAGACGGUCUUGCUGUCACUUAUAGAUGGAUCCGCGCCGCAUUAGCUAGUUGGUAAGGUAACGGCUUACCAAGGCAACGAUGCGUAGCCGACCUGAGAGGAUGAUCGGCCACACUGGAACUGAGACACGGUCCAGACUCCUACGGGAGGCAGCAGUAGGGAAUCUUCCGCAAUGGGCGAAAGCCUGACGGAGCGACGCCGCGUGAGUGAAGAAGGUCUUCGGAUCGUAAAACUCUGUUAUUAGGGAAGAACAAAUGUGUAAGUAACUAUGCACGUCUUGACGGUACCUAAUCAGAAAGCCACGGCUAACUACGUG